RNAcentral lists this long non-coding RNA (2416 nucleotides) under Equus asinus (donkey). Its description in RNAcentral is "lncRNA (ENSEASG00005036848.1)". Lineage: Eukaryota; Metazoa; Chordata; Mammalia; Perissodactyla; Equidae. The record is from RNAcentral.
CGGAAAGGACACUUGUUUACAGUCUGGAAGCUGGAACAAGAAGGCAGAGUGCCGUCUUGUUCAGCCUCAGCUGGGAACGUGUGCUACAGUGACUUAACUUUUCCCGUGCUCUGCACGUGUCCUUGAAUGACCAUGACGCGCCCUGGGUAUUGAUGCCGGGGUUACAGGUAAGUUUUAGCAAAUAGGCAGAUUCACAGAUCCAUAGUGUAUAUCCCUGUGCAUUAGAUACACACACGCAUAUUUAUGUUUUGAGAGAGAUUUUAACCAUCUCAAGGCAAUCAGCAUUAUAAUAGUUGUGUCUGUUUGGCCCUCUGGAGAUGGAGUUCGGGGUGUAGAUGUUUUAAUGGGGGAGAAGACCUGAGAAAGGUAAAUGGGGGACAGGAUUGAGUACGGAAAGCCUCUGGACCUUGAAGCAUAUCUGAUAAAGUUUGGAGCAGCCAGACGCUGAGCUUUGGAGCAGACGCUACCUGUUAGUUAGAGAGAGAUGGCCACGCUCAGUCAUGGGGCAGCUCAAGAAGAGCAAAGCCAGGGUGGAUUAGCAAAUUCUUUCUUGAAAGGAAAUUAGGAGUUUUGCGCCUCCACACUGUUACAGUUGGUAAACCAAACUUUUGAUUUCAGUUUUAUAUAUAAAAAAAAUCUUUUGCACCCAUAUUAAGUUGAACUGAUCAAUGUGGCUGUUUUUGAUCAAAAGUCGUCAACUACUGUCAGUGUCUAAUGGUUCAACUCAACAGAAUCUUUUCAAGGUGUAAUGAUGCUAUUUGAAAUGAGGAUAACACCACUGUCAUCUUCGCUAGUUGAGGAACUCCACCGUACCUCAUCUGAAACGUGAUUUGCCUCACAGUGGAAGCCAGUCAAUGGCAUCCGAACUCACUGAUGAUUCUUGGUUGGUUGGUUGGUUGGUUGUAUUUGGAUGGCCCCCUGCCCCAGAUUAUGGUGGAAAGGGAAUCAAGGUAUUAAAAAAAAAAUUGAGUUUAUGAGUAGGUGUUGCUGGUGUGUAUAUAUUUAAGGUUGUUUUCAUCCAUGAAAAUGAGCUUUUUCUGGGCAGCUCCUUCCUUUUCCUUCAGGUUUUGUGAGUGCUGAAUACUGAAGUCCUGUAUUAAAAUUCCAUUAUUGGGGGCCGGCCCUGUAGCCAAGUGGUUAGGUUCACGCGCUCCACUUCGGUGGCCCAGGGCUUUGCUGGUUUGGAUCCUGGGCGCAGACCUGGCACCACUCAUCAGGCCAUGCUGAGGUGGUGUCCCACAUGCCACAACUAGAAGGACCUAUAAUUAGAAUAUACAACUAUGUACUUGGGGGCUUUGGGGAAAAGAAGAAGAAAAGAAGAUUGGCAACAGAUGUUAGCUCAGGGCUAAUCUUAAAAAAAAUAAAAUUCCAUUAUUGAACAAAUGUUUUAAGGAGAAACAACAGCCUUAUGACUACAGCUUCUGAAGUGAUAGGAAUAUUAAGUAACAUUAGGUUGAACAUGUAACCACCAGUGUAUGAAGUAAAUAACUUCUCAACUUGGUUUUAAAACCAAAUGAACAUAGUUCAUUUCAUUAAAAAUAUCCAACUGAAAAAGGAUGGGUGGCAUCUAAUGGUAAAGUGCUUUAUUCCUAUAUAGAAUUCAUAUAGAUAAGUUCUAUAAGCAAUUUGAUCUUUUCUCUUUCAGGUGAGAUAAAUCCUGAGAGUCAUUCUUUUUUUUGGUGAGGAAGAUUGGCUAACACACCAAUCUUCCUCUUUUGUAUGUAGGUCGGUGCCACAGCUUGGCCGCCCAUGAGUGGUGUAGGUCUGCACCGGGGAGCCAAACCUGGGCCACAGAAGCAGAGCACGCUGAACCUAACCACUAGGCCACAGGGCCAGCCCCUGGGACUCAUUCUACCACAAGAAGUUGCAGAAAUAGUGCGAGAGGUCCUGCGUGCCGUCCCCCAGCUUCCUCCAACAGUGGCAUCUUACCUCAUCUUUGAGCAGUAGGGAAACAGGAAGUCACCGUGGUGCCAUACAGUGAACUCGUCCACAGUCCUUACGGGGAGUUCACCAGUGUGUGCGUGUACUCAUUUGUGAGGUACAUUUUAAAGAUGAGCGUGUGUAAUAGCUUCUCUUUCAAAGCUUAAAUGGAACAUACGUUGAGCAGAAGGGGACAGAAUGAGUUGGGGGCGAUACACAAAAACCCAGUAAUCAUCAGCUUGACUUUUCUUUUUUUUUUGGUGAGGAAGAGUUGCCCUGAGCUAACAUCCAUGCCAAUCUUCCUCUAGUUUGUAUGUGGGUCCCCACCACAGCAUGGCUGACAAGUGGUAUAGGUCUGCACUGGGGAUCCCAACCUGUGAACCCGGGCUGCAGAAGUGGAGUGCGCCAAACUUAAAGACUGCGCCAUGGGGCUGGCCCCACCUUAACUUUUCUUAGUAGCCAAAGUGGAUGGGACAGGUGACAGCACCCCAGGAAG